CCUACGGGAGGCAGCAGUGGGGAAUAUUGCGCAAUGGGCGAAAGCCUGACGCAGCGACGCCGCGUGAGGGAUGAAGGUCUUCGGAUCGUAAACCUCUGUCAGCAGGGAAGAACGGGCACUGUGCUAAUCAGCAGUGAAUUGACGGUACCUGCAAAGGAAGCACCGGCUAACUCCGUGACAGCAGCCGCGGUAAUACGGGGGGUGCGAGCGUUAAUCGGAAUUACUGGGCGUAAAGCGCUCGUAGGGGCUAUGUCAAGUCAAGGGUGAAAUCUACGGGCUCAACGUGGGAACUACCUUUGAAACUGGUAAACUGGAGUGUGUGAGAGGAUAGUGGAAUUCCAGGUGUAGGAGUGAAAUCCGUAGAUAUCAGGAGGAACAUCAGUGGCGAAGGCGACUAUCUGGCACAUAACUGACGCUGAGGAGCGAAAGCGUAGGUAGCAAACAGGAUUAGAUACCCCGGUAGUC
This 465-nucleotide ribosomal RNA is filed under the name uncultured bacterium. RNAcentral describes it as "partial 16S ribosomal RNA". It matches the Rfam family "Bacterial small subunit ribosomal RNA", at positions 338 to 795 of the family's 1533-position model. The record is from RNAcentral.